RNAcentral lists this ribosomal RNA (543 nucleotides) under uncultured Glomeromycotina. RNAcentral's name for it is "SSU rRNA". It matches the Rfam family "Eukaryotic small subunit ribosomal RNA", at positions 548 to 1098 of the family's 1831-position model. The record is from RNAcentral. Lineage: Eukaryota; Fungi; Glomeromycota.
UUGGAGGGCAGUCUGGUGCCAGCAGCCGCGGUAAUUCCAGCUCCAAUAGCGUAUAUUAAAGUUGUUGCUGUUAAAAAGCUCGUAGUUGAAUUUCGGGGUUCUACCGUUGGUCGGGCUUUGUCUGUACUGGUGUGUAGAAUUUCUACCUUCUGGGGAACCAUCAUGCUAUUAAUUUAGCGUGGUGGGAAACCAGGACCUUUACCUUGAAAAAAUUAGUGUGUUCAAAGCAGGCUUAUGUCUGAAUACAUUAGCGUGGAAUAAUAGAAUAGGACGGUGGUCCUGUUUUGUUGGUUUCUGAAUCACCGUAAUGAUUAAUAGGGAUAGUUGGGGGCAUUAGUAUUCAAUUGUCAGAGGUGAAAUUCUUGGAUUUAUUGAAGACUAACUUCUGCGAAAGCAUUUGCCAAGGAUGUUUUCAUUAAUCAAGAACGAAAGUUAGGGGAUCGAAGACGAUCAGAUACCGUCGUAGUCUUAACCAUAAACUAUGCCGACUAGGGAUCGGACGAUGUUAAUUUUUCUUGACUCGUUCGGCGCCUUACGGGAAAC